GUUGUUUACUUUUAAAUAUGUUGCAUGUUUCAUAAAUCAUUAUAAUUGUGAUGUUGAACAUGUUGAAUGCAUAAAAUGAUAUAAUUGCACAAAUUUACAUCAGUGUCUUUGCUAGAAGAUUUAUAAUAAAGGAACCUUAUGCAUAAGUUGUUGCCCCAUUCAUUUAAAAUUUGAAACUCUCAUCUUCUCUAUAUACACACCCAUCCUUUAAAUUUAAUUACCACCAAACAUUCUGUCAAAAACCCAUAUCUUUCAGGUUAAUUAAACAUGGACUAAGAGAAACACUGAACAUGAUCUAGACAAAUAGUUCACCAAAAAUUUAUCAUUGUUUUUUCUUUUA
This 340-nucleotide long non-coding RNA is filed under the name Mytilus galloprovincialis (Mediterranean mussel). The record is from RNAcentral. Lineage: Eukaryota; Metazoa; Mollusca; Bivalvia; Mytilida; Mytilidae.